CAUAUCAAUAAGCGGAGGAAAAGAAACUAACAAGGAUUCCCCUAGUAACUGCGAGUGAAGCGGGAAGAGCUCAAAUUUAAAAUCUGGCGGUCUCUGGCCGUCCGAGUUGUAGUCUGGAGAAGUGCUUUCCGCGCUGGACCGUGUACAAGUCCCUUGGAACAGGGCGUCAUAGAGGGUGAGAAUCCCGUCUUUGACACGGACUACCAGUGCUUUGUGAUGCGCUCUCAAAGAGUCGAGUUGUUUGGGAAUGCAGCUCAAAAUGGGUGGUAAAUUCCAUCUAAAGCUAAAUAUUGGCGAGAGACCGAUAGCGAACAAGUACCGUGAGGGAAAGAUGAAAAGCACUUUGGAAAGAGAGUUAAACAGUACGUGAAAUUGCUGAAAGGGAAACACUUGAAGUCAGUCGCGUCGGCCAGAACUCAGCCUUGCUCUUUUGCUCGGUGCACUUUCUGGUUGACGGGCCAGCAUCGAUUUUGACCGUUGGAUAAAGGUUGGGGGAAUGUGGCACCUUCGGGUGUGUUUAUAGCCCUCGGUCACAUACA
RNAcentral lists this ribosomal RNA (539 nucleotides) under Laricifomes officinalis. RNAcentral's name for it is "eukaryotic LSU rRNA". It matches the Rfam family "Eukaryotic large subunit ribosomal RNA", at positions 39 to 576 of the family's 3401-position model. Lineage: Eukaryota; Fungi; Basidiomycota; Agaricomycetes; Polyporales; Laricifomitaceae. The record is from RNAcentral.